Thalassophryne amazonica is the source of this 244-nucleotide long non-coding RNA. RefSeq lists it as uncharacterized. Lineage: Eukaryota; Metazoa; Chordata; Actinopteri; Batrachoidiformes; Batrachoididae. The transcript has 2 exons. The record is from RefSeq and is a predicted model, not a curated record.
ACACACACACACACACACACACACACACACACACUUCCUCCAGCAACUGCCGGGCACAGACACAGCAUUAAACACCUUCCAACUUUAAAUUGGUUCUCCAGAAGCUACCUAGUAUUCCUCAUGCAGUGUAAGGGUGAGAGUGAAGGAUGAGGCAAGAUCUGAGAUGUUGCCCAGGAUGACUCCACCACAGAGAUAUAUGUUUGUUAUAUUAUGUAAUAAAUUUAUAAUUAAAACAUGAACUGCU